Molecule: ribosomal RNA, 253 nt
Filed under: uncultured bacterium
Lineage: Bacteria
Description: partial 16S ribosomal RNA
Rfam family: Bacterial small subunit ribosomal RNA
Source: RNAcentral
UACGUAGGGUGCGAGCGUUAAUCGGAAUUACUGGGCGUAAAGCGUGCGCAGGCGGUUCGUUGUGUCGGUGGUGAAAUCCCCGGGCUUAACCUGGGAAUGGCCAUGGAAACUGGCGAACUGGAGUGCGGCAGAGGGGGGUGGAAUUCCGCGUGUAGCAGUGAAAUGCGUGGAGAUGUGGAGGAACACCAAUGGCGAAGGCAGCCUUCUGGGCCAACACUGACGCUCAUGUGCGAAAGCUAGGGGAGCGAACGGG